Molecule: long non-coding RNA, 1126 nt
Filed under: Lathyrus oleraceus (garden pea)
Lineage: Eukaryota; Viridiplantae; Streptophyta; Magnoliopsida; Fabales; Fabaceae
Description: Pisum sativum (pea) long non-coding RNA (PSAT_LNC011082)
Source: RNAcentral
UGAGUAUCAAUUGGUAAAUUUAUUUUUAAUAUUAAAUCUCUCCACUCUCUAUUUGACAUUUUUAUCAUAAAACCUACUAAAUCAAAACUAAUACACUUUUUUUUCUAAUCCACUUUUUUUUUUCUAUUAUACGGUAUAAAAUAAGUUUAGAUAAUAAAGGUUUUAUUAUAUUAUAAUGAGAAAUAACAAAGAUCUCAAAAGGUCUAAUAUAAUAUCCAUAAUAGAAUACCACUCACUAUUCUAACCUCAAGAUAUUAAUAAAGUGCCACUUAAAUACUUCUCCUUCCUCUCAAAUCAAACAUUAUCUUAGUUGUAACUAAUUAUUAUUUUGAUAUAAUAAAUAAUAAUUAAUAAUUUAAAAAGUAAUAUAAUCAAUAGAAUUAAUUAUUUGACUUUACUAUCGUAUAUUAUUUAUGGAAUGAUGAGUAAAAUCAGGUCGUUGAUAAAAUAAAGUAAAGUAUAUAUAUGAGACAAACAAAUUUAGAUAUCCAAUAAUUAAUCUAAUUAUUUCUAUGAAUACCCGUUUAUUAUUCGGAUCACAAAUAAACCUAAUGUUAUAUUUUUAUGCAAUUUUAUAUUUUUAUGCGUAUACUUUUCUACUAUCCCAAUUUUAAUAUUUACAAAAAUUUAAAAGAGAAAAUGGAAUACAAGUUAGGUGUUUUCAUGGAAACAUUAAAAUUGAAGAGUACGGUAUUUUUGCUAGGUUCUUAAAAUUUAAUAUUGGUGAGGUUUCAGUUUAAUGAUUUGAAUUGAAAGAUAAUAUUGCUUAGGUUGUCUGUUUUUUGUUGUAUCUAUUCACAGUUGGCAUAUUGAGUAUCAAUUGGUAAAUUUAUUUUUAAUAUUAAAUCUCUUCACUCUCUAUUUGACAUUUUUAUCAUAAAACCUACGAAGUCAAAACUAAUGCACAUUUUUUUUUCUAAUGCACUUUUUUUUCUAUUGUACUGUAUAAAAUAAAUUUAGAUAAUAGAAAUUUUAUUAUAUUAUAAUGAGAAAUAACAAAGAUUUCUAAAGUUCUAAUAUAAUAUCCAUAAUAGAAUACCACUCACUAUUCUAACCUCAAGAUAUUAAUAAAGUGUCACUUAAAUACUUCUCCUUCCUCUCAAAUCAAACAUUACCUUAGUUGUAA